GGAAGGUUUUCUUUUGUUCCCUGUCUCCCUUCCACUUCCCCACCACCUAUCCCUAGGGCGGACCCACCACCUGUUUAGUGGUUUUGACUCGCCCACAGCGCCCCCAUAGGGCAACUCUCAGACUGUCAUACACCGCCUUACUGUACUGAUUCCUUCACACCUAUUCACCUGCUUGGGAACAGCAGCGAUGAUUCCGUGUCCGUAUCCCUGCACACAGCAAAAUAAUAACAACGCACUUAAUGGAUGAAUGGGUUUGGAUUCCAAGUCAACUUACUAGCACCACUUUUCUUGGGCAAGUUCUUUCCUCGUGAAGACCCGGGUUUCCUUCUCUGUGAGAUGGGGAGACUAACAACCACCUCCCUGGUCGUUGUGAGGAAUCAAGGGGGUAACACUUGUGACGGGCACGGCAGCACACUGGAGGCACGCAGUAGGUCCACAGGUCAGAUUCAGUGACUCUCUCCCAGACCCGCCGACAGAUGGAAGGAGCCUAGCCUCUGUGCGGCAGGGGCGCCGGGAGGUACGCUGCCCCCAAGGUACCGCUCCGCAUUCCUGGCUGUCCCUUAAACCCAUUCCCUCAGGGACCUGUCCUGUAACCUGAGGCUCAGAUGCUGCUUACAAGGCAGAUCUCAGGGAGGGAGGAGAAGGGAAGCGCUUCGGGCUGGUCAUCGGUCACUGAAACCUCAGUGUGAACUAGUCCCCCAUCAUCCUUCCAAUGGAGGAGUGAGGUAGACAGGACAGUGAGGCAGGGGUGGGGAUGGAAUACGGAGAGGGUGAGGAGGGCGUUGGGAAUGUUGGGGCGCAGAAGAAUCCGGAGCGGCUGCCUGGUACACGGGGAAACAUUGCCGAAGUCAGAGAGAGAUCAGGGUUCAAGUCUGGACUUUUCCAGCUGCUGGAAGUGUGGCUGGAGGCAAGGUACUUAAGCUGUUUGUAGUUUUCUGAUCUGUAAAAUGGGGCGGAUACUAGCUAAUUUGGGGGUACGUCUGAGGGUAGAGGGAGGCAACCUGGAAAGGGCUUAGUCGGUGGUGAUCGGGAGGCGCGCUGGGCGCCGAGGACUGGGCCCUGCAGGCUGGAUUCACCACCGAGCAGCAGGAGGUGGCCCCUCUAGAUUGCGGUUACCGGUUCCCUUCUCUCGGCUGGAUCUCCCGGGCUCUGCUCUUUGUCUGGGGCCAGCUGUGCCCACAGUGACAGCCACCUACAUUCAUUCGUUGUGAGAGAAUGCACCUUCUCCCACCUCCCACCCCGAACGGGGAGCAGAGGCGAGCCUACGAUACUCUUUCCUUCCAGCUCCAGGAAGGAAAGGGUGAAACAUUCCACGGUCCCCUAGAACGCUGGGAGAAAACACCGGAGAAAGACGGAAGCAUGUGAUUCCUGAAUUAAGAAGUUCUUCACGCCCCUAUUCCAGACCUCCUGCCUGCCUGGGCUCCCAUGCAAGCCCUCGUGCUCAAUGACUCCCUACAUGCCUUCGGCGAAGAGUGGCAUAGACCCAUUUCCACAAGUCAUGGCAUAGACCCAUUUCCCCCACACUGGCAACUGGCACCAGGGAACCUCAUCAUCUUAGCACCUUUUGCCUGGAUUUCUGCAAGGUCUAGGUCUCGUAUGGAAGUCAUGAGACAAGACCAUUGUACUCCUAGCGCUUAAGGUAGAGACAGACACGCAGCGGGUGCUCACGGCUUCUCAACUGCCUCCCUAUUGCCAAUGGCCAACCAGCGACGGCCCGACGGCAAAGAUUUUACCACCGUUGGCCAAGUAUGAAUUGUGAACCAGCAUG
Long non-coding RNA from Herpailurus yagouaroundi (jaguarundi), 1768 nucleotides. RefSeq lists it as uncharacterized. The transcript is spliced from 2 exons. The record is from RefSeq and is a predicted model, not a curated record. NCBI's taxonomy places the organism in Eukaryota, Metazoa, Chordata, Mammalia, Carnivora, Felidae.